Long non-coding RNA from Microtus ochrogaster (prairie vole), 883 nucleotides. RefSeq lists it as uncharacterized. Lineage: Eukaryota; Metazoa; Chordata; Mammalia; Rodentia; Cricetidae. The record is from RefSeq and is a predicted model, not a curated record.
ACCCCCUCCCAUUUCCCCUGCCUCUCCUGUUGUUUCUGCACACCUGUACCUACCAGUCGUUACCCCUCCCCCAUUAAAGUGCACCCACGUGGGACCACCGCGUGUCUGUGUCUCCUUUCCCUGCGUAACGUCUUUACCCUCUAACCCCGCAGACGAGAAAGCCAGUCCAAAAAUAAGAACAACAAUUGGUGCCACUGUCAACUCGGUAACCUUUCCGUCCCAGUGCCUGAGGCUUUGCCUCUGGGCUUCACCGGCACAAGGUCUGAACCUACCGCCUGCGACCUCCUCCACCUGUUUGCCACGGCCAUCUAACACCGACUGAUUCGUGAGUUAACCUAAGUUGGCUUUCUUCCUCCGGAGCGUGCUCAGAGACUGUCCGGCCAGCUUUCUUUGCAUCUUAACAAUGACCCAGCUACUUGAAAAGCCAGACAGAUGCUAUUUCUUCAAUCAGCCACCCCAGACGCCAGCGGAUGGGACACCAGCCAACACCUCAAAUGCCGGCAGACAGGAUAUAACCAACAAAAUAUGGCCAGAACAAUCGGACACUCCCUGGAUCCCUCGACGCCCAAAGCCAGCAGGAAGCAGUCAUGAGAGACUGGGCUAUACCCCCAUUCCCUACCCUUUAAGGUCUCCCAUUUUUUUUUAAUCAAACCAAAAGGGUGAAAUGUUGUUCCUUUGCGAAACUACAGCUCCCAGCGUUCCCCUGGACUAUGGAUACCAGCACACGCAAGCGCAGGGCACAUUCCCAAAAGCCUUUGCAUUCCUCAUUAAAAGGUGAGGGUUGCCACAACCCCCUCCCUUUUCCCCUGCCUCUCCUGUUGUUUCUGCACAUCUGUACCUAUCUGCCGUUACCCCUCCCCCAUUAAAGUGCACCCACGUGGGA